This 334-nucleotide long non-coding RNA is filed under the name Mus musculus (house mouse). RNAcentral describes it as "predicted gene, 49180". The record is from RNAcentral. Lineage: Eukaryota; Metazoa; Chordata; Mammalia; Rodentia; Muridae.
UUGAUGGCUUCUGGCGGGACCAAGGGAAGGACUCAGUUUUCUUUAAGGAGCUGGCCACUGGGAAUCUGACCACACUCCAGUGAGUUCAGCUGUACUCUGGCCUGAAGACACCUUUAAAUGAUUGCCAUGGAGAAACUACAGAACAACUCUCACACUAAGUUACAGCUGAUGUUAGGCAAGCCACAAGAGAGGAAACAUCUUAGCACUGGUCCUGGAGAAGCCAGAGCGCUAGAGGAUUUCUCGCUGUUACCACCCCCCCACCCCCCUGAAACAUUGCUUUGGGGAAUUCAAGCAAUGCACUGUUGUUUGUAAAUAAACCCCAGCCUGACCUUUC